CGUAUCCAACCUGCCGUCUACUCUUGGCCAGCCUUCUGAAAGGAAGAUUAAUCCAGGAUGGGAUCAUGAGUUCACAUGUCCGCAUGAUUAAAGGUAUUUUCCGGUAGACGAUGGGGAUGCGUUCCAUUAGAUAGUAGGCGGGGUAACGGCCCACCUAGUCAACGAUGGAUAGGGGUUCUGAGAGGAAGGUCCCCCACAUUGGAACUGAGACACGGUCCAAACUCCUACGGGAGGCAGCAGUGAGGAAUAUUGGUCAAUGGGCGAUGGCCUGAACCAGCCAAGUAGCGUGAAGGAUGACUGCCCUAUGGGUUGUAAACUUCUUUUAUAAAGGAAUAAAGUCGGGUAUGCAUACCCGUUUGCAUGUACUUUAUGAAUAAGGAUC
This 382-nucleotide ribosomal RNA is filed under the name uncultured bacterium. RNAcentral describes it as "bacterial SSU rRNA". It matches the Rfam family "Bacterial small subunit ribosomal RNA", at positions 116 to 494 of the family's 1533-position model. The record is from RNAcentral.